CUCCAAAAAUAAAAAAAUAAAUAAUGUAUUGCGUGUUCAAACUGCCUUCAGUAUAACAUUUGGCCCCAAAACUAAUAAAACUAAUAGAAAUUGUAAAGAAUAAAUAAUAGCAUAACAUUUAGCCCCACCGUUUGUAGGCUGUUCUGUUGACUGUUUGUUGGCCGAUGAAAAGACAAGGAUACCCCUCGCGCUCAAAUCAAGAACCGAAUUUACUAUUUCGACUGCUGUAAUCUGCUUUAGCGCCAAAGGGUAGAGUACUUGCCAAAUGACAAAACGCCAUUGACAAAACAAUGACAUUACUGAAUCAUUAAAAAAUAAUAAUAAUAAAUUAAAUACAACUCUAUUCCUCUGAUGACCAUAAAUUGUUACAUUUGUAAGCAAAAAAUAAACAAAUAGAUAGAUGAAAAAAAAAAAAAACACAUUUCCCAUUUCUUUCACUUGCUUCUCAAGCUACACACUCUUUCAUCAAUUAAUCACAGCUCAACUUUAAUUGAAUUUCAAACAUUGGAAUCAAACCAUGGAUUCACAAAGGUCAAAAUAUGGGAGUGUUUGGAAUUGAGAUGUUGUAGCUUCUAAGCUACAAUUGCUGUGGAAAAAAAAUUGUAACUAUAAAAUAAAAGUUAGUAAUAUAUAGUAAAUAUGAAUUUUAAAUAAUAAUUUUGAUAAAAUUAUUAAAAAUAUAAUAAAUUUUUCAUUAUACAAGUGAAAAAUCAUAUUAAUAUAGCUCUCAAGGUACAGCAACUAGUGUUUACCAAACACUUUAGAGCUGCAGCAGUCCAACCUCAAUCUACGCACUCUAUAUCAAGCAGAUCAACAACAAUUUUAUGCACCAUGUUGAAAGUUUUCUCAUCUAGGACUGGCAAGCACCAGAAUGGCUGGAUCAUCAACAACAAUUUAUGAGCCACUGUGUCUUGGUUUCACUGAAUUGCUGGAUGAUUAGCUUGGUCUUGAAGCUGAAAUUUUCACCUAGAACUGAGAAAAUAGUUAAAUGAAAUAAUAUGACAUACAAUAAAGUCAACAAAAUAAAAGGACAAAUAAACUUAUUUAGUAAUGUCGCAAUUAUAUUUAUUGCCAUGCUAUCACUUUCAUUGCAGACAUCAUCACCAUAAUACUAGCAGUCUAGCACUAAUAGUCAGAAUAAUAAUAAUAAUAGUAGUAGCACAAUUUUUGAAAUUUCUGUAGAGUAAGAUCUAAAGAUGCCAAAAAUAUCAUAUGAAAAAAAAAAAAAAGGUCCAAGAAUUCAAGGAAAGAAAACUCAUUAACAAAGAACCUAACUUUUUAAUCAUGUUUAAUAAACUAAGUUCUUAUGAUUUUCCAUUAUUAAGACAAUUGGUUUCUGCUUUCUAAUGUUUCAAAGCAUACCAAGAAAUAUUAACAAUUACCAAAUCAGUAAGCAGCACAAUUACUUGAUAAGACUUUUGACUUGUCUAACCCAAAAUUGUACCCAAUUCUACACUCUACUAUGAAGCUUAUGAAGCCGAACUUACUUUGACCAAACAACACUACUAGCUCAGUUAAAGGAAACCACAACUGAAUAAAGAUCAGCUGAAAUAACUAAAUUGAAAAAAGUUCAUAAAACUAAAAAUAACUUAUAAUAGUCUAUUAAAGACAUACAAAACAGGAAGAUAAAUAAACAUAGGUCUAUUUUCUUGACACUGCCAAGUUUUGGUUUCAAAAUCACCAUAUUGCAAUAAUAAAUUGUUGUGAUUCCUAAGAUACAAUAUGUAGCAGCUUAUAUGCUGGCAAUCAUAGUCAAAGAAGAUGGUUGUCAAACGUCCUCGCAAAUCAAGAAGCUAAUAAAGACCAGGUCGCACAACAUUAACAUAUAUCAGUUCUUUGAUAUAAAGAUAUUGAAUGUUAUACACUUCUAAUCCCAAGUCCUGAAACAUAAAACAAAAGUUCACUUCACAUAUUCAUAAAGCUAAAGUACUAGAGAAAUGGGGAAUAGACAUGGAUAUGGGUCAAUAAACUAUUAAGCUAAUUAAUGCACACGACGGAAUCUGUUAGAACAAGUUAAAUAGCCCUUACAGAGAAGCAUCCAAUUUCCUAAAAGGAGAUAACGGCAAUACACAUAAAAUAGCUUCACUUACCAUUAAGCAAUAUGCUAGUAUUAACUCGCGAGAUAACAACUGAUGAUUGAUUCAGUUGCACUUACAUAUGCCUAAAGUUUUAACUUUCAAAUUGAUUGCUGCUUGCUCCUUUAUCUAGAAACAUAUUUGACGGUGAUUAAUCCUGACCUCUACCAUGCCAUUCAAUUUUCAUAUUCUCAUAAUCAUAAAUUCACUUUUAGGAAUAUCAACUGCACUAUUAAGAGCCCAAACUUGAUCAAACAGAACUAUUAGCUCAUAACUUCAUCAAUUGGAUAAAUAAAGUCACAAUAACAAUGCCAGCAGCUGCUUCAACACAUCAUCAACAAACCCAUUUUCAUUUAAUCAACAAAAAUCCCCGACAGCAUUUUCAACACAUCAACAAACCCAUUUUCAUUUUAAUUGAUAAAACACCGCCAGCAUCAGAGCAACUUCAUCAAAACAUCAACAAACCCAUUUUCAUUUUAAUCCACAAACAACACCAGCAACAGAGCAUAUUCUUCGACACAUUAACAAACCCAUUUUCAUUUUUAAAUAACAAAACAAAAUAAUGCCCAAUCACUGAUUUCCAACAUGCAAAGAGUUUUUUUUUUUUUCUUUUUUCAAAGACUAACCUUCUACGCUAUUGAGCGACGGUCGCCUCUAGCCCCGACCGCAGGCGGCACUCAGUCGACGCCGUCACCCUUGAUUAUCACCUUACGGUUGAUUUCUUUAUCUUCAAAGCAUUUAGAGGUGGAUAUGUGUGUGUUUCGGUUAGAUGAAGGAGAAUUGUUUUCGUGAUGAAUAGAUUUGAUGAAAGAGAAAGAAACACUCUCAAAUCAGCUGGAUAUAUUGUGUAGCGAUAGAUGCAUUGGAUAAUUACUUGUAGCCUCAGCAUUUUAUUUUUUAAAAUUU
RNAcentral lists this long non-coding RNA (2981 nucleotides) under Citrus maxima (pomelo). RNAcentral describes it as "long non-coding RNA (CMAX_LNC000813)". Lineage: Eukaryota; Viridiplantae; Streptophyta; Magnoliopsida; Sapindales; Rutaceae. The record is from RNAcentral.